This 907-nucleotide ribosomal RNA is filed under the name Lachancea thermotolerans. RNAcentral describes it as "eukaryotic LSU rRNA". The stretch from base 331 to 907 matches the Rfam family "Eukaryotic large subunit ribosomal RNA", at positions 1 to 583 of the family's 3401-position model. The record is from RNAcentral. Lineage: Eukaryota; Fungi; Ascomycota; Saccharomycetes; Saccharomycetales; Saccharomycetaceae.
GAAGAACGCAGCGAAAUGCGAUAAGUAUUGUGAAUUGCAGAUAUUCGUGAAUCAUCGAAUCUUUGAACGCACAUUGCGCCCUCUGGUAUUCCAGGGGGCAUGCCUGUUUGAGCGUCAUUUCCUUCUCAAACCCUCGGGUUUGGUAGUGAGUGGUACUCUUUCUGGGUUAACUUGAAAAUGCUGGCCAUCUGGCUGUUGCUGACUGAGGUUUUAGUCCAGUCCGCUGAUACUCUGCGUAUUAGGUUUUACCAACUCGUAGUGGCGUUAGUAGGCGUUUUAAAGGCUUUUACUGAAAGUACAGACAGUCUGGCAAACAGUAUUCAUAAAGUUUGACCUCAAAUCAGGUAGGAUUACCCGCUGAACUUAAGCAUAUCAAUAAGCGGAGGAAAAGAAACCAACCGGGAUUGCCUUAGUAACGGCGAGUGAAGCGGCAAAAGCUCAAAUUUGAAAUCUGGCACCUUCGGUGUCCGAGUUGUAAUUUGAAGAAGCUACUUUGGGGCUAGUCCUUGUCUAUGUUCCUUGGAACAGGACGUCAUGGAGGGUGAGAAUCCCGUAUGGCGAGGAGUCUAGUCCUAUGUAAAGUGCUUUCGACGAGUCGAGUUGUUUGGGAAUGCAGCUCUAAGUGGGUGGUAAAUUCCAUCUAAAGCUAAAUAUUGGCGAGAGACCGAUAGCGAACAAGUACAGUGAUGGAAAGAUGAAAAGAACUUUGAAAAGAGAGUGAAAAAGUACGUGAAAUUGUUGAAAGGGAAGGGCAUUUGAUCAGACAUGGUGUUUUGCGACCCUCGCUCCUUGUGGGUGGGGAUCUCGCAGCUCACUGGGCCAACAUCAGUUUUGGCGGUAGGAUAAAUCUUUGGGAACGUGGCUUGUCUUCGGAGAAGCGUUAUAGCCCAGGGGGAAUACUGCCAGC